ACUACGGGAGGCAGCAGUGGGGGAUAUUGCACAAUGGGGGGAACCCUGAUGCAGCGACGCCGCGUGGGUGAAGGAGUGCUUCGGCAUGUAAAGCCCUAUUGGCAGGGAAGAAGCAAGACGGUACCUGACUAAGAAGCCCCGGCGAACUACGUGCCAGCAGCCUCGGUCAUACGGAGGGGGCGCGCGUUAUCCGGAGUCACUGGGGGUAAAGGGAGCGUAGACGGCCGAGGAAGCCAGGGGUGAAAGACCGGGGGCCAACCCCGGGACUGCGCUUGAAACUGGAUGGCUGGAGUGCGGGAGGGGCAGGCGGAAUUCCUGGUGUAGCGGUGAAAUGCGUAGAUAUCAGGAGGAACCCCGGUGGCGAAGGCGGCCUGCUGGACCGCGACUGACGUUGAGGCUCGAAAGCGUGGGGAGCGAACAGGAUUAGAUACCCGUGUAGUC
RNAcentral lists this ribosomal RNA (441 nucleotides) under uncultured bacterium. RNAcentral describes it as "partial 16S ribosomal RNA". It matches the Rfam family "Bacterial small subunit ribosomal RNA", at positions 338 to 795 of the family's 1533-position model. The record is from RNAcentral.